UACGUAGGGGGCUAGCGUUGUCCGGAUUUAUUGGGCGUAAAGAGCUCGUAGGCGGUUUGUUGCGUCGGCCGUGAAAACCUGCAGCUUAACUGUGGGCCUGCGGUCGAUACGGGCAGACUUGAGUUCGGUAGGGGAGACUGGAAUUCCUGGUGUAGCGGUGAAAUGCGCAGAUAUCAGGAGGAACACCGGUGGCGAAGGCGGGUCUCUGGGCCGAUACUGACGCUGAGGAGCGAAAGCGUGGGGAGCGAACAGG
This 253-nucleotide ribosomal RNA is filed under the name uncultured bacterium. RNAcentral describes it as "partial 16S ribosomal RNA". It matches the Rfam family "Bacterial small subunit ribosomal RNA", at positions 524 to 776 of the family's 1533-position model. The record is from RNAcentral.